CCUACGGGAGGCUGCAGUGGGGAAUCUUCCGCAAUGGACGAAAGUCUGACGGAGCAACGCCGCGUGAGUGAUGACGGCCUUCGGGUUGUAAAGCUCUGUGAUCGGGGACGAAUGGCUGGUAUGCUAAUACCAUAUCAGAGUGACGGUACCCGAAUAGCAAGCCACGGCUAACUACGUGCCAGCAGCCGCGGUAAUACGUAGGUGGCAAGCGUUGUCCGGAAUUAUUGGGCGUAAAGCGCGCGCAGGCGGCUUCUUAAGUCCAUCUUAAAAGUGCGGGGCUUAACCCCGUGAUGGGAUGGAAACUGGGAGGCUGGAGUAUCGGAGAGGAAAGUGGAAUUCCUAGUGUAGCGGUGAAAUGCGUAGAGAUUAGGAAGAACACCGGUGGCGAAGGCGACUUUCUGGACGACAACUGACGCUGAGGCGCGAAAGCGUGGGGAGCAAACAGGAUUAGAUACCCUAGUAGUC
This 465-nucleotide ribosomal RNA is filed under the name uncultured Dialister sp. Its description in RNAcentral is "bacterial SSU rRNA". It matches the Rfam family "Bacterial small subunit ribosomal RNA", at positions 338 to 795 of the family's 1533-position model. The record is from RNAcentral. Lineage: Bacteria; Bacillati; Bacillota; Negativicutes; Veillonellales; Veillonellaceae.